Molecule: long non-coding RNA, 1334 nt
Filed under: Micromonas pusilla
Lineage: Eukaryota; Viridiplantae; Chlorophyta; Mamiellophyceae; Mamiellales; Mamiellaceae
Description: long non-coding RNA (MPUS_LNC000039)
Source: RNAcentral
GGCUAGGUUUUUUCGAUUUUUUUUUCCUGCGCCCUCAGAGCUUCUCAGAUUUUUUGGCCAACUAGAGGCGAAUAGGGGCGAAUUGGACUCACUCCGAUCAACUGAUCGGCGUGGGAUGAGUUUGGCAGUUUCUCGGUGAAACUGAUCGAUUGAGUUUAGAGAUGAGCCCCCGUUUACCGUGCAGCGAAGCGCACCCACAGGCCACCUUGUUCCCCACAGUUUUUUCUGGUCUGGUGCCGACCACCUCCUCACGCGCGCAAAAGCUGCGACCUCGGAUGCGCACUAAACCGCGUGAUAUCACGAUCAUCGACUAGAGGGAUGCUAGUGUGCGAGUUUGAUGCGUUUUUGGCGUAAAAGAGCUCACGAGUGUGAGUGUGUGGAGAUUACAAAAAUAGGGAUCUGUGCGGACUCUUCUAUUUUCCGCCCCACGAGCGUGCGCGCACGUCCAAUUUUUGUGGUGGGGUAGAAAGUUCGAAUUCUUACUUUCUUCUUGAACACUUUGACACACCUGCGACUGCGCAGGAGGCGGAGAGAAUUCUAAUUGAAAUGGCUCCACUAGUGAUCUGAAAAGGGUUCCCAGCUUAAAGCUGCGCCAUCCGCCCACUGUUGAGUUAAGAUGUCAGUUUGUCGUACUUAAAAAAAAGAGUUGGUCAAGAAAACCUUGACAAGCUGUCGCCGUUUACUAACACUCUCAUCAGCAGGGCAAGGUGGGUCAUAUUUCUUCAGUAUUUCAGCAUACUCCAGGCCCAUCUCAAAGUCUUCUAUGACUUCAUCUGAUAUAUCCUUUUCCGAGACCCAACUGGGUGGCAUCUCUGAUAUAUUACGUUCAUAAAUACAGAUACAAGACACAAUGCAAAAAUAGGAACUAAACUUGCCAUCUAACCACUCAAUAAGAUAUUCCUUUUGCUCAUUUUCUGUUAAGCGGCAAGCUUUAAUGGCAGCAGGAGGUACCUCUUCAAAAACGAAAUCUUCCAGCGUCCUUGUAAUAGAUUCCAUUAUAGAACGACGGGCAUAUGUCACAGUAGUUGCCGGUGUGCUUAACAAGAGUCCUUCAAUGAGGUCAAGAGGCUGUCGGAAAAUGCUCAGUGGGAAACCAUUAGUUGCACAAAAAGUGAGAAACGCACUGAUCGUCCGGAAAUAUCUUGCAACUCAGGGUCUGCUCCAGACUUCACCAAUGUACUGACAAUAUCCUCGUGCAAGUAACCUGCUGCGAUAUGAAGUGGAGUAAAACAGUCUUUGUCCUGCAGGAAGCAGAGUCAACGAACACGGUCGGGAUAAACAAACUACAUUGCUUGCCUUAGCAUCAACUUCAGCACCAUACGCUAGAAGUGCGC